UGCAGACCACGUCUAAGACUUGUUGUGACAACAGGGCGCCUCUUCAGCCCCAGCGAUCUAGCACCACCGCCACCAGGAGGUCACUGUCGUCUGAUUUGACAUGGAAACAACUUAAUAAGUCACUCGCCUCUGAAGCUAAAGAAGACCAUGAGUUUAUCCAUAUCAGUCUGUGCACAUGUUUGUGAUCAGACCAUCAGAGGAUGUAGAAGAGGACUAACCUGCAGACCGCAUGGAAGAAGCAUCUACAAGCCCACCGAUAUGGCACUACCGCUGUUGUGGCAAUGUCAUGUCUCUACAGCUAUCGCCUCACGCCUUUCUUCAUGUGGAUAGCAACAACAUUUGGAUCAUCUGCAACAAAAGUCUUCG
RNAcentral lists this long non-coding RNA (366 nucleotides) under Zea mays. Its description in RNAcentral is "long non-coding RNA (ZMAY_LNC005153)". The record is from RNAcentral. Lineage: Eukaryota; Viridiplantae; Streptophyta; Magnoliopsida; Poales; Poaceae.